This 453-nucleotide ribosomal RNA is filed under the name uncultured organism. RNAcentral describes it as "partial 16S ribosomal RNA". It matches the Rfam family "Bacterial small subunit ribosomal RNA", at positions 332 to 799 of the family's 1533-position model. The record is from RNAcentral.
UACACUCCUACGGGAGGCAGCAGUGGGGAAUUUUACGCAAUGGGGGAAACCCUGACGUAGCGACACCGCGUGAGCGAAGAAGCCCUUUGGGGUGUAAAGCUCUGUCAGCUGGAACGAAAACAAUGACGGUACCAGCAGAGGAAGCAUCGGCUAACUACGUGCCAGCAGCCGCGGUAAGACGUAGGAUGCGAGCGUUGUCCGGAUUUAUUGGGCGUAAAGAGUUCGUAGGUGGUUUGUUAAGUUUGGUGUUAAAGAUCGGGGCUCAACCCUGGGACUGCACUGAAUACUGGCAGACUCGAGUGUGGUAGAGGCUAGUGGAAUUCCCAGUGUAGCGGUGAAAUGCGUAGAUAUUGGGAAGAACACCGGUGGCGUAGGCGACUAGCUGGGCCAUAACUGACGCUGAGGAACGAAAGCCAGGGGAGCGAAUGGGAUUAGAUACCCGUGUAGUCCCAU